CCUACGGGAGGCAGCAGUGGGGAAUUUUGGACAAUGGGCGAAAGCCUGAUCCAGCAAUGCCGCGUGAGUGAAGAAGGCCUUCGGGUUGUAAAGCUCUUUUGUCAGGGAAGAAACGGUGUUUUCUAAUACAGAAUGCUAAUGACGGUACCUGAAGAAUAAGCACCGGCUAACUACGUGCCAGCAGCCGCGGUAAUACGUAGGGUGCAAGCGUUAAUCGGAAUUACUGGGCGUAAAGCGUGCGCAGGCGGUUUUGUAAGUCUGACGUGAAAUCCCCGGGCUCAACCUGGGAAUUGCGUUGGAGACUGCAAGGCUAGAGUUUGGCAGAGGGGGGUAGAAUUCCACGUGUAGCAGUGAAAUGCGUAGAUAUGUGGAGGAACACCGAUGGCGAAGGCAGCCCCCUGGGUCAAGACUGACGCUCAUGCACGAAAGCGUGGGGAGCAAACAGGAUUAGAUACCCUGGUAGUCCACGCCCUAAACGAUGUCUACUAGUUGUCGGGUCUUAAUUGACUUGGUAACGCAGCUAACGCGUGAGUAGACCGCCUGGGGAGUACGGUCGCAAGAUUAAAACUUAAAUGAAUUGACCGG
This 585-nucleotide ribosomal RNA is filed under the name uncultured bacterium. RNAcentral describes it as "bacterial SSU rRNA". It matches the Rfam family "Bacterial small subunit ribosomal RNA", at positions 338 to 917 of the family's 1533-position model. The record is from RNAcentral.